This 502-nucleotide ribosomal RNA is filed under the name uncultured bacterium. Its description in RNAcentral is "partial 16S ribosomal RNA". It matches the Rfam family "Bacterial small subunit ribosomal RNA", at positions 30 to 523 of the family's 1533-position model. The record is from RNAcentral.
AUUGAACGCUGGCGGAAUGCUUUACACAUGCAAGUCGAACGGCAGCAUAGGUGCUUGCACCUGAUGGCGAGUGGCGAACGGGUGAGUAAUACAUCGGAACGUGCCCAGUCGUGGGGGAUAACGUAGCGAAAGUUACGCUAAUACCGCAUACGAUCUAAGGAUGAAAGCGGGGGACCGUAAGGCCUCGCGCGAUUGGAGCGGCCGAUGUCAGAUUAGGUAGUUGGUGAGGUAAAGGCUCACCAAGCCGACGAUCUGUAGCUGGUCUGAGAGGGCGACCAGCCACACUGGGACUGAGACACGGCCCAGAUUCCUACGGGAGGCAGCAGUGGGGAAUUUUGGACAAUGGACGCAAGUCUGAUCCAGCCAUUCCGCGUGCAGGACCAAGGCCUUCGGGUUGUAAACUGCUUUUGUACGGAACGAAAAAGCUCUUACUAAUACUAGGAGUCCAUGACGGUACCGUAAGAAUAAGCACCGGCUAACUACGUGCCAGCAGCCGCCGUAA